UAAUGUUUGAUAUACCAUUUUCUAGCUCUGAGUCUCUACUUUUAUUCAAUGUAAAAAAAACACAAUUUCAAAUUUUGCUACAUAAGACCAAAUCGAGCCAGUCAGUCACAUAUGACAAAGCAACACAAAAUUAGUCCACACCUUCUAUGAAAUGGAAGUAAUUUCAGCUUCUGAGGAUAAAACUGAUAUCAGAUAAAUAGCAGAUACAUUAUACUUAAAAAUGCAAUAAGUAAAACCUGCUGGUUGUUAAAAAUGACUCUUAAAUUGUUCCAACCCUCACCCUACCAUUCAGAAACAUAACAGCAAUGUGAAGACGUCGAAAUCACCGAAACCUGUUAAGUCGAGGAGAUCUCCAAGAGAAACCGAAUGUAGACUACAUUAAAAUAACUGAAAACGGAAUCGCAUGAGGAAUGUAAUCUCCCACCUCCAGCCCCUACUGCCUCCAAGUUAUGUAAAGUAUGGUAGCCUGCAAUGCUGAUUACUAAUCGACCCUUUGUCCCGAAAACCUAGCCGCUGAACAACCACCUUGCCUUUUGAUAGACUGGGAGGAUCUUUUACCGUAUUACCUUAACUGAUCCUUUCAAAUCUACAAGCAUGUGGCUAGUGGGAAUGUAGCCUCAACCCAGAUGGAAUCACUCCAUGUUUCAACAUUGUUAAUGUAGUAAAACAAAUGUGAAACAACUGAAAUCCUUCUGGAUUUCCAGCUAGGAGCGUAGGGGCUUGGGAGGUUAACUUCAGCAGGUUGUAGAGUUUUAGUUUAAAGUUUGGUAAUGUGUUUAGGUUGACUUUUUAAAAGUAUUCUACCAUGUCAAUAAAACUUAAACACAUGACAAUUGUGUGUAGAAAAAGGCUGGAUGUUAUUUUACACAUGCACUUUUUUUAAGGGAAAGGUCUACCCAAGACCUCACCAAAAUAUGCCCCUAAGCACCAGAAAACCUGUCGCACUACUACCAAGAAACAAAAGGCUAAAACGUAGCACAAGCCACCAAGUAAUGACGGUGAGGACGACCCUUCAAAACGUAAGACAACCUCAUAUUCUACAUCAUUGUGUGGAGAUGGAGAAAUGUCAAACUAAAACGCUGCGCAAGCCACCAAGCGAUUAUAGCGAGGAGAACCCUUCACAACAGAAUCUUAAGCCUUCAUGCUCCAGGGAUAGGUCAUGUGGGAGACGAGAGAUCCCCUCACCAAAGCGCUGCAAAGGCUCAGACUCUUUCCUAAGACAGUUGCCUGAUUGAGGAAUUACACUUCAAAGUGAACAUGACGGAGGAAGAUUUACUAAAGAUGGAAGAGCAGCUUAUGGAGAAUGAUUUUCAAAAAUACAUGAUAUCUCAGAUCUCAAACUGGGGGGAAAAACAUCCCGGACCAGAACCCUGACAAAAAGCCUAAUGUCAACAAUGAAUAUGCAAGGAAACAAAGGGAAGAGCAGGUGUGAGUCUAGGUGAAUCAAAGGCUACAGUGGCAGAAAUACUACAGGCGAUGUCAACCUGCCUGAAAUUUGCACCUGACUGCAAGGGAGGCAGUGGGAGUGCCAAUGAGUAAGGGGGUGAAAGAGUUCUUAAGAAGUUAAAACCAUCAAGCUUGUUCCGACAUUGCCUUUUUUGGGGUUAUUGUAUAUCUAAUUUGUGCCAGAAAUCAUUUUUUUUUGCUUUUUUAAUAAAUAA
Molecule: non-coding RNA, 1661 nt
Organism: Salmo salar (Atlantic salmon)
Lineage: Eukaryota; Metazoa; Chordata; Actinopteri; Salmoniformes; Salmonidae
Source: RefSeq, a predicted model, not a curated record